GACGAACGCUGGCGGCGUGCUUAACACAUGCAAGUCGAACGGAAAGGCCCUGCUUUUGUGGGGUGCUCGAGUGGCGAACGGGUGAGUAACACGUGAGUAACCUGCCCUUGACUUUGGGAUAACUUCAGGAAACUGGGGCUAAUACCGGAUAGGAGCUCCUGCUGCAUGGUGGGGGUUGGAAAGUUUCGGCGGUUGGGGAUGGACUCGCGGCUUAUCAGCUUGGUGGUGGGGUAGUGGCUUACCAAGGCUUUGACGGGUAGCCGGCCUGAGCGGGUGACCGGCCACAUUGGGACUGAGAUACGGCCGAGACUCCUACGGGAGGCAGCAGUGGGGAAUAUUGCACAAUGGGCGGAAGCCUGAUGCAGCAACGCCGCGUGCGGGAUGACGGCCUUCGGGUUGUAAACCGCUUUCGCCUGUGACGAAGCGUGAGUGACGGUAAUGGGUAAAGAAGCACCGGCUAACUACGUG
This 468-nucleotide ribosomal RNA is filed under the name uncultured bacterium. RNAcentral describes it as "partial 16S ribosomal RNA". It matches the Rfam family "Bacterial small subunit ribosomal RNA", at positions 28 to 507 of the family's 1533-position model. The record is from RNAcentral.